RNAcentral lists this long non-coding RNA (331 nucleotides) under Elaeis guineensis (African oil palm). Its description in RNAcentral is "long non-coding RNA (EGUI_LNC074976)". Lineage: Eukaryota; Viridiplantae; Streptophyta; Magnoliopsida; Arecales; Arecaceae. The record is from RNAcentral.
AUCGUUUAGGACUGUGAUGCCUUAGACAGUUGGCUAUCAUGUGAGGCAGCCAUGCAUGUUUAGAAAGCUUUCACUUAUGAAAUCCUAGGAAACAAGUAAAAAGUUAAUUCAAAAAUUGACGCUCAGAAUUCCAUCAUGGAAGAGUGAGAUUCUCUUAACAUAUUUGGCAUUUCGCUCAUGAAACUUCUAAUUCUAUUUCAGCUUUUUGGUGAAGUUUUCUUCAAUAGUAGAUUGCUUGCAACUGCACCAACAUAAAUAUCUUCUGUCUGGUUGCAUGCUGAUAAAUUCUUGUAUAGAUGAUCAUCUCCACUAAUCCCAUCAUUGAGCAAAA